GGUUAAGCGACUAAGCGUACACGGUGGAUGCCCUGGCAGUCAGAGGCGAUGAAGGACGUGCUAAUCUGCGAAAAGCGUCGGUAAGGUGAUAUGAACCGUUAUAACCGGCGAUGUCCGAAUGGGGAAACCCAGUGCAAUUCGUUGCACUAUCGUUAACUGAAUACAUAGGUUAACGAGGCGAACCGGGGGAACUGAAACAUCUAAGUACCCCGAGGAAAAGAAAUCAACCGAGAUUCCCCCAGUAGCGGCGAGCGAACGGGGAGCAGCCCGGAGUCUGAAUCAGCUUGUGUGUUAGUGGAAGCGUCUGGAAAGUCGCAGGGUACAGGGUGAUACUCCCGUACACUAAAACACACAGGCUGUGAACUCGAAGAGUAGGGCGGGACACGUGGUAUCCUGUCUGAAUAUGGGGGGACCAUCCUCCAAGGCUAAAUACUCCUGACUGACCGAUAGUGAACCAGUACCGUGAGGGAAAGGCGAAAAGAACCCCGGCGAGGGGAGUGAAAAAGAACCUGAAACCGUGUACGUACAAGCAGUAGGAGCCCACUAGUUGGGUGACUGCGUACCUUUUGUAUAAUGGGUCAGCGACUUAUAUUCUGUAGCAAGGUUAACCGAAUAGGGGAGCCGCAGGGAAACCGAGUCUUAACUGGGCGUUAAGUUGCAGGGUAUAGACCCGAAACCCGGUGAUCUAGCCAUGGGCAGGUUGAAGGUUGGGUAACACUAACUGGAGGACCGAACCGACUAAUGUUGAAAAAUUAGCGGAUGACUUGUGGCUGGGGGUGAAAGGCCAAUCAAACCGGGAGAUAGCUGGUUCUCCCCGAAAGCUAUUUAGGUAGCGCCUCGUGAAUUCAUCUUCGGGGGUAGAGCACUGUUUCGGCUAGGGGGUCAUCCCGACUUACCAACCCGAUGCAAACUACGAAUACCGAAGAAUGUUAUCACGGGAGACACACGGCGGGUGCUAACGUCCGUCGUGAAGAGGGAAACAACCCAGACCGCCAGCUAAGGUCCCAAAGUCAUGGUUAAGUGGGAAACGAUGUGGGAAGGCCCAGACAGCCAGGAUGUUGGCUUAGAAGCAGCCAUCAUUUAAAGAAAGCGUAAUAGCUCACUGGUCGAGUCGGCCUGCGCGGAAGAUGUAACGGGGCUAAACCAUGCACCGAAGCUGCGGCAGCGACACUAUGUGUUGUUGGGUAGGGGAGCGUUCUGUAAGCCGUUGAAGGUGGCCUGUGAGGGUUGCUGGAGGUAUCAGAAGUGCGAAUGCUGACAUAAGUAACGAUAAUGCGGGUGAAAAACCCGCACGCCGGAAGACCAAGGGUUCCUGUCCAACGUUAAUCGGGGCAGGGUGAGUCGACCCCUAAGGCGAGGCCGAAAGGCGUAGUCGAUGGGAAACAGGUUAAUAUUCCUGUACUUGGUGUUACUGCGAAGGGGGGACGGAGAAGGCUAUGUUGGCCGGGCGACGGUUGUCCCGGUUUAAGCAUGUAGGCGGAUGUUCCAGGUAAAUCCGGAACGUUAUUAACGCUGAGGUGUGAUGACGAGGCACUACGGUGCUGAAGUGACAAAUGCCCUGCUUCCAGGAAAAGCCUCUAAGCAUCAGGUAACAUCAAAUCGUACCCCAAACCGACACAGGUGGUCAGGUAGAGAAUACCAAGGCGCUUGAGAGAACUCGGGUGAAGGAACUAGGCAAAAUGGUGCCGUAACUUCGGGAGAAGGCACGCUGAUGGUAAGUGAAGUGACUUGCUCAUGGAGCUGAAAUCAGUCGAAGAUACCAGCUGGCUGCAACUGUUUAUUAAAAACACAGCACUGUGCAAACACGAAAGUGGACGUAUACGGUGUGACGCCUGCCCGGUGCCGGAAGGUUAAUUGAUGGGGUUAUCCUCGCGGAGAAGCUCUUGAUCGAAGCCCCGGUAAACGGCGGCCGUAACUAUAACGGUCCUAAGGUAGCGAAAUUCCUUGUCGGGUAAGUUCCGACCUGCACGAAUGGCGUAAUGAUGGCCAGGCUGUCUCCACCCGAGACUCAGUGAAAUUGAACUCGCUGUGAAGAUGCAGUGUACCCGCGGCAAGACGGAAAGACCCCGUGAACCUUUACUAUAGCUUGACACUGAACACUGGUCCUUGAUGUGUAGGAUAGGUGGGAGGCUUUGAAGUGUGGACGCCAGUCUGCAUGGAGCCAUCCUUGAAAUACCACCCUUUAAUGGCUGGUGUUCUAACGUGGGCCCGUGAUCCGGGUUGCGGACAGUGUCUGGUGGGUAGUUUGACUGGGGCGGUCUCCUCCUAAAGAGUAACGGAGGAGCACGAAGGUCAGCUAAUCCUGGUCGGACAUCAGGAGGUUAGUGCAAUGGCAUAAGCUGGCUUGACUGCGAGCGUGACGGCGCGAGCAGGUGCGAAAGCAGGUCAUAGUGAUCCGGUGGUUCUGAAUGGAAGGGCCAUCGCUCAACGGAUAAAAGGUACUCCGGGGAUAACAGGCUGAUACCGCCCAAGAGUUCAUAUCGACGGCGGUGUUUGGCACCUCGAUGUCGGCUCAUCACAUCCUGGGGCUGAAGUAGGUCCCAAGGGUAUGGCUGUUCGCCAUUUAAAGUGGUACGCGAGCUGGGUUUAGAACGUCGUGAGACAGUUCGGUCCCUAUCUGCCGUGGGCGCUGGAGAAUUGAGGGGGGCUGCUCCUAGUACGAGAGGACCGGAGUGGACGCAUCACUGGUGUUCGGGUUGUCAUGCCAAUGGCAUUGCCCGGUAGCUAAAUGCGGAAGAGAUAAGUGCUGAAAGCAUCUAAGCACGAAACUUGCCCCGAGAUGAGUUCUCCCUGACCCUUUAAGGGUCCUGAAGGAACGUUGAAGACGACGACGUUGAUAGGCCGGGUGUGUAAGCGCAGCGAUGCGUUGAGCUAACCGGUACUAAUGAACCGUGAGGCUUAACCUU
RNAcentral lists this ribosomal RNA (2906 nucleotides) under Klebsiella oxytoca. RNAcentral describes it as "23S ribosomal RNA". It matches the Rfam family "Bacterial large subunit ribosomal RNA". The record is from RNAcentral. Lineage: Bacteria; Pseudomonadati; Pseudomonadota; Gammaproteobacteria; Enterobacterales; Enterobacteriaceae.